GUAACAAGGUUUCCGUAGGUGAACCUGCGGAAGGAUCAUUACCGAGUGUAGGGUUCCUAGCGAGCCCAACCUCCCACCCGUGUUUACUGUACCUUAGUUGCUUCGGCGGGCCCGCCAUUCAUGGCCGCCGGGGGCUCUCAGCCCCGGGCCCGCGCCCGCCGGAGACACCACGAACUCUGUCUGAUCUAGUGAAGUCUGAGUUGAUUGUAUCGCAAUCAGUUAAAACUUUCAACAAUGGAUCUCUUGGUUCCGGCAUCGAUGAAGAACGCAGCGAAAUGCGAUAACUAGUGUGAAUUGCAGAAUUCCGUGAAUCAUCGAGUCUUUGAACGCACAUUGCGCCCCCUGGUAUUCCGGGGGGCAUGCCUGUCCGAGCGUCAUUGCUGCCCAUCAAGCACGGCUUGUGUGUUGGGUCGUCGUCCCCUCUCCGGGGGGGACGGGCCCCAAAGGCAGCGGCGGCACCGCGUCCGAUCCUCGAGCGUAUGGGGCUUUGUCACCCGCUCUGUAGGCCCGGCCGGCGCUUGCCGAACGCAAAUCAAUCUUUUUCCAGGUUGACCUCGGAUCAGGUAGGGAUACCCGCUGAACCUAAGCAUAUC
RNAcentral lists this unclassified non-coding RNA (593 nucleotides) under Aspergillus flavus. RNAcentral's name for it is "sequence contains 18S rRNA gene, ITS1, 5.8S rRNA gene, ITS2, 28S rRNA gene". The stretch from base 224 to 377 matches the Rfam family "5.8S ribosomal RNA". The record is from RNAcentral. Lineage: Eukaryota; Fungi; Ascomycota; Eurotiomycetes; Eurotiales; Aspergillaceae.